This is a long non-coding RNA of Xiphophorus couchianus (Monterrey platyfish), 185 nucleotides long. RefSeq lists it as uncharacterized. Lineage: Eukaryota; Metazoa; Chordata; Actinopteri; Cyprinodontiformes; Poeciliidae. The transcript has 2 exons. The record is from RefSeq and is a predicted model, not a curated record.
GGUUGCUCAGCCAUUUGAUCACCAACAUGGCCGCUAAAUACCUGAGUUGUGAACAAAGCAUGGAUCAGGGACUCAUUACCACCAAAAUGCAAAGCAGUUACACAGAAAGUCAACUUCAGGAAAACACAUACAAAUCACAGCACAGUGGAAAGAAUCUUCUGGAAGCGAACGAGUGUAGUAGACCC